Molecule: unclassified non-coding RNA, 330 nt
Filed under: soil metagenome
Description: partial contains 5.8S ribosomal RNA, internal transcribed spacer 2, and large subunit ribosomal RNA
Rfam family: 5.8S ribosomal RNA (bases 1-121)
Source: RNAcentral
GAUGAAGGAACGCAGCGAAAUGCGAUAAGUAAUGUGAAUUGCAGAAUUCAGUGAAUCAUCGAAUCUUUGAACGCACAUUGCGCCCCCUGGUAUUCCGGGGGGCAUGCCUGUCCGAGCGUCAUUACAACCCUCAAGCUCAGCUUGGUGUUGGGCCCCGCCGCCCCGGCGGGCCCUAAAGUCAGUGGCGGUGCCGUCCGGCUCCGAGCGUAGUAAUUCUUCUCGCUCUGGAGGUCCGGUCGUGUGCUCGCCAGCAACCCCCAAUUUUUUUCAGGUUGACCUCGGAUCAGGUAGGGAUACCCGCUGAACUUAAGCAUAUCAAUAAGCGGAGGA